RNAcentral lists this ribosomal RNA (468 nucleotides) under uncultured bacterium. Its description in RNAcentral is "partial 16S ribosomal RNA". It matches the Rfam family "Bacterial small subunit ribosomal RNA", at positions 28 to 507 of the family's 1533-position model. The record is from RNAcentral.
GACGAACGCUGGCGGCGUGCUUAACACAUGCAAGUCGAACGGAAAGGCCCUGCUUUUGUGGGGUGCUCGAGUGGCGAACGGGUGAGUAACACGUGAGUAACCUGCCCUUGACUUUGGGAUAACUUCAGGUAACUGGGGCUAAUACCAGAUAGUAGCUCCUUCUGCUUGGUGGGGGUUGGAAAGUUUCGGCGGUUGGGGAUGGACUCGCGGCUUAUCAGCUUGUUGGUGGGGUAGUGGCUUACCAAGGCUUUGACGGGUAGCCGGCCUGAGAGGGUGACCGGCGACAUUGGGACUGAGAUACGGCCCAGACGCCUACGGGAGGAAGCAGUGGGGAAUAUUGCACAAUGGGAGGAAGCCUGAUGCAGCAACGCCGCGUGCGGGAUGACGGCCUUCGGGUUGUAAACCGCUUUCGCCUGUGACGAAGCGGGAGUGACGGUAAUGGGUAAAGAAGCACCGGCUAACUACGUG